UUAAUAGUGGGAAAUUAGAACCUCUAGCUCUGAAAUGUGUUUUUGUUGAUUAUUCUAGUACUCAGAAAUGAUAUAGGUGUUAUCAUCCUCCUUAACGAAAAUAUUUUGUGAGUAUGAACGUUACCUUCAGGGAAUCUGAAUUUUAUUUCCAUCCACCUCUUCAGAGGCGGCAUAGGAAGGAAGAGGUGUAUUUUCCUUCAUCCUCAUCCUCUCCCAACCUUCAAUUUCAGGGGGAGAAUCUGGGUUUAGAGCCUAUAUCUAACAAUGAAACUCAGGGAGAGUCACCUAAAUCUCAAGAAAGACUGAAAAGGCCAGAUUUAAAAACAUAUACUCGACAAAAAAAGACAGAUAUAGCCAUCGAGCAGAAGACUGCUGAUCAACUGGAAUCCUUGGAUUCAAUUCCUGGAUAUCUUGAGGAUUGGAAGAAAGCUUGCCUCGAUCCAAAAUGGAGGGCAGCUAUGGUGGAGGAGAUGAAAGCUUUGACAAAGAAUGAGAUAUGGAAACUGGUUACUCUCCCACUUGAAAAGAAGCCAGUUGGAUGCAAGGAGGUGUUCACUGUGAACCAUAGAGCAGAUGGUUCAAGUGAGAGGUAUAAGGUCAGAUU
This 604-nucleotide unclassified non-coding RNA is filed under the name Hevea brasiliensis (rubber tree). Lineage: Eukaryota; Viridiplantae; Streptophyta; Magnoliopsida; Malpighiales; Euphorbiaceae. The record is from RNAcentral.